GAUGAACGCUGGCGGCGUGCCUAAUACAUGCAAGUCGAGCGGACGGACGAGAAGCUUGCUUCUCUGAUGUUAGCGGCGGACGGGUGAGUAACACGUGGAUAACCUACCUAUAAGACUGGGAUAACUUCGGGAAACCGGAGCUAAUACCGGAUAAUAUUUUGAACCGCAUGGUUCAAAAGUGAAAGACGGUCUUGCUGUCACUUAUAGAUGGAUCCGCGCUGCAUUAGCUAGUUGGUAAGGUAACGGCUUACCAAGGCAACGAUGCAUAGCCGACCUGAGAGGGUGAUCGGCCACACUGGAACUGAGACACGGUCCAGACUCCUACGGGGGGCAGCAGUAGGGAAUCUUCCGCAAUGGGCGAAAGCCUGACGGAGCAACGCCGCGUGAGUGAUGAAGGUCUUCGGAUCGUAAAACUCUGUUAUUAGGGAAGAACAUAUGUGUAAGUAACUGUGCACAUCUUGACGGUACCUAAUCAGAAAGCCACGGCUAACUACGUG
RNAcentral lists this ribosomal RNA (497 nucleotides) under uncultured bacterium. RNAcentral's name for it is "partial 16S ribosomal RNA". It matches the Rfam family "Bacterial small subunit ribosomal RNA", at positions 28 to 507 of the family's 1533-position model. The record is from RNAcentral.